Molecule: ribosomal RNA, 253 nt
Filed under: uncultured bacterium
Lineage: Bacteria
Description: partial 16S ribosomal RNA
Rfam family: Bacterial small subunit ribosomal RNA
Source: RNAcentral
AACGUAGGUUCCGAGCGUUAUCCGGAUUUACUGGGCGUAAAGCGCGUUCAGGCGGUUUGGCAAGUCGGGCAUGAAAUCUCUCGGCUCAACCGGGAGAGGUUGUCCGAUACUUCCAGACUUGAGGGCAGUAGAGGGUGGUGGAAUUCCGGGUGUAGUGGUGAAAUGCGUAGAUAUUGGGAAGAACAUCAGUGGCGAAAGCGCUCUACUGGACCUUAUCUGACAUUGAGGGACGAAAGCUAGGGGAGCGAAUGGG